GACAGAGGGUGCAAACGUUGUUCGGAAUUACUGGGCGUAAAGCGAGUGUAGGCGGUGAAGUAAGUCGGACGUGAAAGCCCGGGGCUCAACCUCGGAAGUGCGCUCGAUACUGCUUCGCUUGAGUGUCGGAGAGGUUGGUGGAAUUCUGGGUGUAGAGGUGAAAUUCGUAGAUAUCCAGAGGAACACCGGUGGCGAAGGCGGCCAACUGGACGACGACUGACGCUGAGACUCGAAAGUGUGGGGAGCAAACAGG
RNAcentral lists this ribosomal RNA (253 nucleotides) under uncultured bacterium. RNAcentral describes it as "partial 16S ribosomal RNA". It matches the Rfam family "Bacterial small subunit ribosomal RNA", at positions 524 to 776 of the family's 1533-position model. The record is from RNAcentral.